RNAcentral lists this ribosomal RNA (301 nucleotides) under uncultured bacterium. RNAcentral's name for it is "partial 16S ribosomal RNA". It matches the Rfam family "Bacterial small subunit ribosomal RNA", at positions 509 to 807 of the family's 1533-position model. The record is from RNAcentral.
CAGCAGCCACGGUAAUACGUAGGGUGCGAGCGUUAAUCGGAAUUACUGGGCGUAAAGCGUGCGCAGGCGGUUCGUUAAGACAGAUGUGAAAUCCCCGGGCUUAACCUGGGAACUGCAUUUGUGACUGGCGAGCUAGAGUAUGGCAGAGGGGGGUAGAAUUCCACGUGUAGCAGUGAAAUGCGUAGAGAUGUGGAGGAAUACCGAUGGCGAAGGCAGCCCCCUGGGCCAAUACUGACGCUCAUGCACGAAAGCGUGGGGAGCAAACAGGAUUAGAUACCCGCGUAGUCCCUGUCUCUUAUAC